This 399-nucleotide ribosomal RNA is filed under the name uncultured bacterium. Its description in RNAcentral is "bacterial SSU rRNA". It matches the Rfam family "Bacterial small subunit ribosomal RNA", at positions 28 to 429 of the family's 1533-position model. The record is from RNAcentral.
GACGAACGCUGGCGGCGUGCUUAACACAUGCAAGUCGAGCGGUAAGGCCCUUUCGGGGGUACGACGAGCGGCGAACGGGUGAGCAACACGUGGGUGACCUGCCCUCAGCUCUGGGAUAAGCCUGGGAAACCGGGUCUAAUACUGGAUAUGACUCCAUGACGCAUGUUGUGGGGUGGAAAGCCUUGUGCGGCUGAGGAUGGGCCCGCGGCCUAUCAGCUUGUUGGUGGGGUGAUGGCCUACCAAGGCGACGACGGGUAGCCGGCCUGAGAGGGCGACCGGCCACACUGGGACUGAGACACGGCCCCAGACUCCUACGGGAGGCAGCAGUGGGGAAUCUUGCGCAAUGGGCGAAAGCCUGACGCAGCGACGCCGCGUGAGGGAUGACGGCCUCGGUGUAAC